CCUACGGGUGGCAGCAGUGGGGAAUAUUGCACAAUGGGGGAAACCCUGAUGCAGCGACGCCGCGUGAGUGAAGAAGUAAUUCGUUAUGUUAAGCUCUAUCAGCAGGGAAGAAAAUGACGGUACCUGAGUAAGAAGCCCCGGCUAACUACGUGCCAGCAGCCGCGGUAAUACGGAGGGGGCAGGCGUUAUCCGGAUUUACGGGGGGUAAAGGGAGCGUAGUCGGCAGUGCAAGUCUGGAGUGAAAGGCGGGGGCUCAACCCCCGGACUGCUCUGGAAACUGUCCGGCUGGAGUGCAGGAGAGGUAAGUGGAAUUCGUGGUGUAGCGGUGAAAUGCGUAGAUAUUAGGAAGAACACCGGUGGCGAAGGCGGCAUACGGGACUGUAACUGACGUUGAGGCUCGAAGGCGUGGGGAGCGAACAGGAUUAGAUACCCCUGUAGUC
Molecule: ribosomal RNA, 440 nt
Filed under: uncultured bacterium
Lineage: Bacteria
Description: partial 16S ribosomal RNA
Rfam family: Bacterial small subunit ribosomal RNA
Source: RNAcentral